RNAcentral lists this ribosomal RNA (572 nucleotides) under uncultured soil bacterium. RNAcentral describes it as "bacterial SSU rRNA". It matches the Rfam family "Bacterial small subunit ribosomal RNA", at positions 237 to 823 of the family's 1533-position model. The record is from RNAcentral.
CCCAUUAGCUAGUUGGUAGGGUAACGGCCUACCAAGGCAACGAUGGGUAGCUGUUCUUAGAGGAAGACCAGCCACACUGGAACUGGAACACGGUCCAGACUCCUACGGGAGGCAGCAGUUAGGAAUUUUGCGCAAUGGCCGAAAGGCUGACGCAGCAACGCCGCGUGGGGGAUGAAGGCCUUCGGGUUGUAAACCCCUUUUAGACGUGAAGAAAAAAAUGACGGUAACGUCAGAAAAAGCACCGGCUAACUCUGUGCCAGCAGCCGCGGUAAUACAGAGGGUGCAAGCGUUAUUCGGAAUCACUGGGCGUAAAGAGUUCGUAGGCGGUUUGUCGCGUCUGCUGUGAAAACCUAAGGCUCAACCUUGGGCUUGCAGUGGGUACGGGCAGACUAGAGUGCGGUAGGGGUGACUGGAAUUCCUGGUGUAGCGGUGGAAUGCGCAGAUAUCAGGAGGAACACCGAUGGCGAAGGCAGGUCACUGGGCCGCAACUGACGCUGAGGAGCGAAAGCAUGGGGAGCGAACAGGAUUAGAUACCCUGGUAGUCCAUGCCGUAAACGUUGGGCACUAGGUGU